RNAcentral lists this transfer RNA (67 nucleotides) under Allantus togatus. Its description in RNAcentral is "tRNA-His". The record is from RNAcentral. Lineage: Eukaryota; Metazoa; Arthropoda; Insecta; Hymenoptera; Tenthredinidae.
AUUUAAGUAGUUUAAUAUAAAACAUUGAUUUGUGGGAUCAAAAAUAUAAUUUUAAUUAUUUUAGAUA